Molecule: ribosomal RNA, 875 nt
Filed under: uncultured archaeon
Lineage: Archaea
Description: bacterial SSU rRNA
Rfam family: Archaeal small subunit ribosomal RNA
Source: RNAcentral
UUCCGGUUGAUCCUGCCGGACCUGACUGCUAUCGGAUUGAUACUAAGCCAUGCGAGUCAUUGUAGCAAUACAAGGCAGACGGCUCAGUAACGCGUAGUCAACCUACCCUAUGGACGGGAAUAACCUCGGGAAACUGAGUAUAAUGCCCGAUAGAACACUAUACCUGGAAUGGUUUGUGUUUCAAAUGAUUUAUUGCCAUAGGAUGGGACUGCGGCCUAUCAGUUUGUUGGUGAGGUAAUGGCCCACCAAGACUAUUACAGGUACGGGCUCUGAGAGGAGUGGCCCGGAGAUGGGUACUGAGACACGGACCCAGGCCCUAUGGGGCGCAGCAGGCGAGAAAACUUUGCAAUGUGCGAAAGCACGACAAGGUUAAUCCGAGUGGUUUCUGCUAAAGGAACCUUUUGACAGUCCUAGAAACACUGUUGAAUAAGGGGGUGGGCAAGUUCUGGUGUCAGCCGCCGCGGUAAAACCAGCACCUCAAGUGGUCAGGAUGAUUAUUGGGCCUAAAGCAUCCGUAGCCGGCCCUGUAAGUUUUCGGUUAAAUCUGUACGCUUAACGUACAGGCUGCUGGGAAUACUGCAAGGCUAGGGAGUGGGAGAGGUAGACGGUACUCGGGAGGAAGUGGUAAAAUGCUUUGAUCUCUCGAUGACCACCUGUGGCGAAGGCGGUCUACCAGAACACGUCCGACGGUGAGGGAUGAAAGCUGGGGGAGCAAACCGGAUUAGAUACCCGGGUAGUCCCAGCUGUAAACUAUGCAAACUCAGUGAUGCACUGGCUUGUGGCCAGUGCAGUGUUGCAGGGAAGCCGUUAAGUUUGCCGCCUGGGAAGUACGUACGCAAGUAUGAAACUUAAAGGAAUUGGCGGGGGAGCACCAC